RNAcentral lists this transfer RNA (73 nucleotides) under Mus musculus (house mouse). RNAcentral describes it as "tRNA-Ala". It matches the Rfam family "tRNA". Rfam says of the family: Transfer RNA (tRNA) molecules are approximately 80 nucleotides in length. Their secondary structure includes four short double-helical elements and three loops (D, anti-codon, and T loops). Lineage: Eukaryota; Metazoa; Chordata; Mammalia; Rodentia; Muridae. The record is from RNAcentral.
GAGGGGAUAGCUCAGUUGGUAAAGUGCUUGCCUUGCAAGCAUGAGGGCCUGAGUUUGAUACCCAGAACCUACA